RNAcentral lists this ribosomal RNA (1504 nucleotides) under uncultured bacterium. RNAcentral describes it as "partial 16S ribosomal RNA". It matches the Rfam family "Bacterial small subunit ribosomal RNA". The record is from RNAcentral.
AAGAGUUUGAUCCUGGCUCAGGAUGAACGCUAGCGGGAGGCUUAACACAUGCAAGUCGAGGGGCAGCACGGGGAGCAAUACCUGGUGGCGACCGGCGCACGGGUGCGUAACGCGUAUGUAAUCUACCAUUAACCGGGGAAUAGCCCAGAGAAAUCCGGACUAAUAUCGGCCCCAUAUCAUUAUCGAAAGGCAUCUUUUGAUAAUUAAAGCUCAGGCGGUUUUUGAUGAACAUGCGUGUCAUUAGUUUGUUGGUGAGGUAACGGCUCACCAAGACUACGAUGACUAGGGGGUCUGAGAGGAUGAUCCCCCACACUGGUACUGAGACACGGACCAGACUCCUACGGGAGGCAGCAGUAAGGAAUAUUGGGCAAUGGCCGGAAGGCUGAUCCAGCCAUGCCGCGUGCAGGAAGACGGCCCUAUGGGUUGUAAACUGCUUUUAUACGGGAAUAACCCUCCGAACGUGUUCGGAUCUGAAGGUACCGUAAGAAUAAGGAUCGGCUAACUCCGUGCCAGCAGCCGCGGUAAUACGGAGGAUCCAAGCGUUAUCCGGAUUUACUGGGUUUAAAGGGUGCGUAGGCGGCUUUUUAAGUCAGUGGUGAAAGUGCGGGGCUCAACCCUAGAAUCGCCAUUGAUACUGAGGAGCUUGAGUACAGUUGAGGUAAGCGGAAUGUGUAGUGUAGCGGUGAAAUGCUUAGAUAUUACACAGAACACCGAUUGCGAAGGCAGCUUACUAAACUGUUACUGACGCUGAGGCACGAAAGCGUGGGGAUCAAACAGGAUUAGAUACCCUGGUAGUCCACGCUGUAAACGAUGCGCGCUCGGUGUCGGCGAUACACAGCAAGGUGACUAAGCGAACGCGUUAAGUGUCCCACCUGGGGAGUACGAUCGCAAGAUUGAAACUCAAAGGAAUUGACGGGGGCCCGCACAAGCGGUGGAGCAUGUGGUUUAAUUCGACGCAACGCGAAGAACCUUACCAGGUCUUGACAUGCCACGAACUUCAUAGAAACUUGGGAGUCCCGUUCGGCUGAAGGAAUCACAGGUGGUGCAUGGUUGUCGUCAGCUCGUGCCGUGAGGUGUCGGGUUAAGUCCCAUAACGAGCGCAACCCUUAUCUUUAGUUGCCAGCAUUCAGUUGGGCACUCUAAGGAGACUGCCGGUGACAAACCGGAGGAAGGUGGGGAUGACGUCAAGUCCUCAUGGCCCUUAUGUCCAGGGCUACACACGUGCUACAAUGGCCGGUACAAAGGGUUGCGAUGCCGCGAGGUGGAGCCAAUCUCAAAAAGCCGGUCUCAGUUCGGAUUGGAGGCUGCAACUCGCCUCCAUGAAGUCGGAAUCGCUAGUAAUCGCAGAUCAGAACGCUGCGGUGAAUACGUUCCCGGGCCUUGUACACACCGCCCGUCACACCACGGGAGUUGAUUGUACCAGAAGCAGUUGAGCCAACCGUUUACGGGGGCAGGCUGCCAAGGUAUGGCGAGUAACUGGGGUGAAGUCGUAACAAGGUAACCA